Gasterosteus aculeatus aculeatus (three-spined stickleback) is the source of this 1709-nucleotide long non-coding RNA. Lineage: Eukaryota; Metazoa; Chordata; Actinopteri; Perciformes; Gasterosteidae. The record is from Ensembl.
GACCUGUGUAGGAGACUAGUGUUGUGUUGUCCUGACGCGCCAGACAAUGCUGAAAAUCGAUGUGCUAGUAGAGUUACAAAUAUUUAAUCAAGACAAGAUUGUUCAAUAGUAUGAAUCCUAAGUUAGUGGACGGCUUUGAAACAAAACGUGAACUACAUUUUGAUACUGAGGUCUCAAUUCAAAACAAGCAAACAACUUUUAACAUGCUUAUUUACUCAAUUGAAUAUAAAUCAGUGCUAGGAUAUGAAAUUGUACCAGCUCCACCCCCACGCAAAAUAGCUUCAUAUAGGCAUAGAUUCACACCAAGAUGGCCGUCAGACCAGUCCUGUGUUUGCAUGUGAGCUUGGAAUUUAUGUUUUAUGUUUUUUCCGUUUAUGUGUCAUCAGCUUGCACUGGACCAGUGACGUGCGUUGAGGUUCGUAGCUGGGGAGGCACUCAGUCAGAUUCACAAAUACACCCACAGAGCAGCAUAAAUUCACCAUUCAACUGGCUGCUUGCACAUUGACUAAUUGAAUUAUUCUGUAUCAGCGUUCUUUACACACACACACACACAUAGGUAGGGGACAUAUUUUGCCAAAGAAAGUAAAUCUUGUUGUAAAUUGUUUUAAUAUUUGUUUGAUUCGGCACCUUUUCUUUAAUCUUGGCCUGCACCCCAUUAAGCUCCGAUGCCAUCACAGCGGCUCCGUCAUAAGUCUGAGCUAUCAGCUUUUCCACACAGUUGUAUUUCUCCAGGACUCCAAAGAUGUACUCGGCUAUAGCAAGGGCUCGUCUGUCAUUACUCACAUCAUCAAACCCAAAAAAUGCCUCUUUCACUUCACAGGCCACCUAAUUUUGCAACAUAACGCAAAAUGACAGAUUUGGGCUUUGUUUGUGACAUCCAGGGCUGUAGUGGAGGGUAAACGCACGUAAACGCCGUUUACGCACCUCUAGAAUUUGGAAAUAGCGUUUACACACCUAUAAAUAGCGUUUACCCACCUCUAAGUGGCGUUUACGCACCUCAAAGUUCCCUGCGCCUUGUAUUCUUCCGUUGGAAUAAUCCGAAAUAAACUUGGUGUAAUUUUAAAACAGCUAAGACUACGUUUCCUAUUGUUGAACAUAUAAACGCCGUAGUCUGAAUCAUUUUCAUCUGCGCCGUAUUACGGUCUGUGAGCAUCCAAUCAGUGCCUUGCGGCUGCAGCAGCGACACCAAUCAAGAUCCAGGAGGCACAUACACGGACCGGUUUCAUGUCAGACAAUAUUUCGCGGACCGGUCGAGAAGGUCCGACGGGGGGGGUAGUCUUUGCGGGCGGAACGACCGACGGGGGGGAAAGGGGUAGUAGUCGCGCGCUCUGUGUUCGCUGGUCGUGCACGGUAAAAGAAAAACGCCUGGUGACGCGUAGAUUAGAAAACAAGUCAGUUCUCAAUGUGAAAAAAAACAUGCUGUAUAGGCUAUUUAUGAUGACGUAGGUAGUACAUGAGUGUUCCUUUAACUUAUGUUGUCAGUGUAAUUGACUGGUUAACUCUUAAAUUCAACAUAUUUUUUCAGGCAGUGAUAGGACAGGCAAUGAUGCAGAGAGCACAGGGAGAGGAGAAACACCAGAACACGCGUUCUGGGGUUCAUGGCUCCUCUGUGCAAGGCAGGACCUGACGUGGAGGACAAGGAGGCCCUCUGGACACUGCUGUAAAAAGGAGACUCCAUAUGUAGAUAGUUCUUAAUCUGCAAUUGUCUU